RNAcentral lists this ribosomal RNA (407 nucleotides) under uncultured bacterium. RNAcentral describes it as "partial 16S ribosomal RNA". It matches the Rfam family "Bacterial small subunit ribosomal RNA", at positions 30 to 526 of the family's 1533-position model. The record is from RNAcentral.
AUUGAACGCUGGCGGCAGGCCUAACACAUGCAAGUCGAGCGGAGCGGCGGACGGGCGAGUAAUGCCUAGGAAUCUGCCUGGUAGUGGGGGAUAACGUCCGGAAACGGGCGCUAAUACCGCAUACUAUCAGAUGAGCCUAGGUCGGAUUAGCUGGUUGGUGGGGUAAAGGCCUACCAAGGCGACGAUCCGUAACUGGUCUGAGAGGAUGAUCAGUCAGACUGGAACUGGAACACGGUCCGGACUCCUACGGGAGGCAGCAGUGGGGAAUAUUGCACAAUGGGCGCAAGCCUGAUUCAGCCAUGCCGCGUGGGUGAAGGCGGCCUUCGGGUUGUAAAGCACUUUCAGCGGGGAGGCGUUACCCGCAGAAGAAGCACCGGCUAACUCCGUGCCAGCAGCCGCGGUAAUUC